UACGAAGGGGGCUGGCGUUGUUCGGAUUUACUGGGCGUAAAGCGCACGUAGGCGGAUCGUUAAGUCGGGGGUGAAAUCCUGGAGCUCAACUCCAGAACUGCCUUCGAUACUGGCGAUCUUGAGUCCGGAAGAGGUGAGUGGAACUCCUAGUGUAGAGGUGGAAUUCGUAGAUAUUAGGAAGAACACCAGUGGCGAAGGCGGCUCACUGGUCCGGUACUGACGCUGAGGUGCGAAAGCGUGGGGAGCAAACAGG
Molecule: ribosomal RNA, 253 nt
Filed under: uncultured bacterium
Lineage: Bacteria
Description: partial 16S ribosomal RNA
Rfam family: Bacterial small subunit ribosomal RNA
Source: RNAcentral